ACAGUUGUAUAAUGUGUAUAUAUGUGUGUGUGAGCACACACAUAAACAUACACACACAUAUAUUUAC
Molecule: microRNA precursor, 67 nt
Filed under: Microtus ochrogaster (prairie vole)
Lineage: Eukaryota; Metazoa; Chordata; Mammalia; Rodentia; Cricetidae
Description: miRNA (ENSMOCG00000009197.1)
Source: RNAcentral